Molecule: ribosomal RNA, 427 nt
Filed under: uncultured bacterium
Lineage: Bacteria
Description: partial 16S ribosomal RNA
Rfam family: Bacterial small subunit ribosomal RNA
Source: RNAcentral
UGGGGAAUAUUGGACAAUGGGCGAAAGCCUGAUCCAGCCAUGCCGCGUGUGUGAAGAAGGUCUUCGGAUUGUAAAGCACUUUAAGUUGGGAGGAAGGGCAUUAACCUAAUACGUUAGUGUUUUGACGUUACCGACACAAUAAGCACCGGCUAACUCUGUGCCAGCAGCCGCGGUAAUACAGAGGGUGCAAGCGUUAAUCGGAAUUACUGGGCGUAAAGCGCGCGUAGGUGGUUCGUUAAGUUGGAUGUGAAAUCCCCGGGCUCAACCUGGGAACUGCAUUCAAAACUGACUGACUAGAGUAUGGUAGAGGGUGGUGGAAUUUCCUGUGUAGCGGUGAAAUGCGUAGAAAUAGGAAGGAACACCAGUGGCGAAGGCGACCACCUGGACUAAUACUGACACUGAGGUGCGAAAGCGUGGGGAGCAAACA